GACGAACGCUGACAGAAUGCUUAACACAUGCAAGUCGACUUGAAUUUGGGUUUUUUAACGUAGUUUUGGGUGGCGGACGGGUGAGUAACGCGUAAAGAACUUGCCUCACAGCUAGGGACAACAUUUGGAAACGAAUGCUAAUACCUGAUAUUAUGAUUAUAAGGCAUCUUAGAAUUAUGAAAGCUAUAUGCGCUGUGAGAGGGCUUUGGGUCCCAUUAGCUAGUUGGAGGGGUAACGGCUCACCAAGGCGAUGAUGGGUACCCGGCCUGAGAGGGUGAACGGCCACAAGGGGACGGGGACAGGGCCCUUACGCCUACGGGAGGCAGCAGUGGGGAAUAUGGAACAAUGGACCAAGAGUCUGAUCGAGCAAUUCUGUGUGCACGAUGACGUUUUGCGGAAUGUAAAGUGCUUUCAGUUGGGAAGAAGAAAAUGACGGUACCAACAGAAGAAGUGACGGCUAAAUACGUG
This 468-nucleotide ribosomal RNA is filed under the name uncultured bacterium. RNAcentral describes it as "partial 16S ribosomal RNA". It matches the Rfam family "Bacterial small subunit ribosomal RNA", at positions 28 to 507 of the family's 1533-position model. The record is from RNAcentral.